RNAcentral lists this ribosomal RNA (297 nucleotides) under uncultured eukaryote. RNAcentral's name for it is "partial 18S ribosomal RNA". It matches the Rfam family "Eukaryotic small subunit ribosomal RNA", at positions 1470 to 1796 of the family's 1831-position model. The record is from RNAcentral.
CCCUUAGACACUCUAGGCGGCACGCGCGCUACAAUGGCGGGAGAACGUGUUACUGCCACUGAAAAGUGGGGUGAAUCACGAAUCCUUGCCCGUGAAUGGGAUAGUUUGUUGCAAUUUUCGGACUUGAACUAGGAAUCCCUUGUAAGCAUGCUCAAGAAUAGCGUGUUGAAUACGUCCCUGCCGUUUGUACACACCGCCCGUCGUUUCUUCCGACUGAUACUCAUUGUGAGUUCCAAGGAUCCUUUAUUGGAAAAUUGCCGCGAAUGCUUUGUAUUGGAGGAAGAAAAAGUCGUAACA